ACACAAUUUUUCAAAAAAUUCGUGGUUUUAAAAUAUGGACAGUCCGAAUCUACCAUUCGUUUCUCUUUAUAGUUUCCAAAUAAAUUUUAAUAU
This is a long non-coding RNA of Octopus sinensis (East Asian common octopus), 93 nucleotides long. RefSeq lists it as uncharacterized. The transcript has 3 exons. The record is from RefSeq and is a predicted model, not a curated record. Lineage: Eukaryota; Metazoa; Mollusca; Cephalopoda; Octopoda; Octopodidae.